Molecule: long non-coding RNA, 644 nt
Organism: Aedes aegypti (yellow fever mosquito)
Lineage: Eukaryota; Metazoa; Arthropoda; Insecta; Diptera; Culicidae
Exons: 3
Source: RefSeq, a predicted model, not a curated record
UCGUCCUUUCUAGUUUGUUUACCCACAUUUUUGAAUCCACUCGUGAUUAACGUGUUGGCCAUCGGUUCAAUUUGCCUGUUCCCUGCAGAAUGUAAUCAAAACCAAGAUACUAAAUCGGAUCAAUGAUUGCUGUUGGUUUUGCCAGUUGGUGUAAUGGAAUCGAAUUUUCACCAGCUAGUCCUAAUGGCUACCGACACAUCACGUUACCUCAAGCGCAGCAUGAUCAUUCGCACGACUCCAUUCUGGCUGGAAUUACCCGAACAACAUUAAGAUGUGGUGUACAUUUGCUACGGUGAAGGAAACCUGGCAAAUAACACUAAACUACAUUAGGGGUAUCCAUCCCGCAGUAUUACCAUUACAGAGAAUAGUUCCGAUAUAGUACUUACAGCGCUCAGACUUGAAUCGGCAGGGUGCGUAGUGAAACAACAGACAACUUCUGACGUCGCCGCUACAACUGAGCUGCCGGAGAUAACUCAAAUGGACACGUACCGGUGUCGACAAUGUUCGUGACAUCCCCGCGCCUCUCCCCAAAGAUUUGAAUAUUUGAUUUUUAUUUGAACAGUUUUUGUGUAGUAUAAAACAUACUCAGGUUCUUCAAGCGUUGUCUGGCGGUGUUAAAUAAAUAUUAAUGAAUUUAACGUGUA